This 975-nucleotide ribosomal RNA is filed under the name Bacillus sp. (in: firmicutes). RNAcentral's name for it is "bacterial SSU rRNA". It matches the Rfam family "Bacterial small subunit ribosomal RNA", at positions 48 to 1005 of the family's 1533-position model. Lineage: Bacteria; Bacillati; Bacillota; Bacilli; Caryophanales; Bacillaceae. The record is from RNAcentral.
AAUAGACAUGCAAGUCGAGCGAACAGAAGGGAGCUUGCUCCCGGAUGUUAGCGGCGGACGGGUGAGUAACACGUGGGUAACCUGCCUGUAAGACUGGGAUAACUCCGGGAAACCGGAGCUAAUACCGGAUAGUUCCUUGAACCGCAUGGUUCAAGGAUGAAAGACGGUUUCGGCUGUCACUUACAGAUGGACCCGCGGCGCAUUAGCUAGUUGGUGGGGUAAUGGCUCACCAAGGCGACGAUGCGUAGCCGACCUGAGAGGGUGAUCGGCCACACUGGGACUGAGACACGGCCCAGACUCCUACGGGAGGCAGCAGUAGGGAAUCUUCCGCAAUGGACGAAAGUCUGACGGAGCAACGCCGCGUGAGUGAUGAAGGUUUUCGGAUCGUAAAGCUCUGUUGUUAGGGAAGAACAAGUGCGAGAGUAACUGCUCGCACCUUGACGGUACCUAACCAGAAAGCCACGGCUAACUACGUGCCAGCAGCCGCGGUAAUACGUAGGUGGCAAGCGUUGUCCGGAAUUAUUGGGCGUAAAGGGCUCGCAGGCGGUUUCUUAAGUCUGAUGUGAAAGCCCCCGGCUCAACCGGGGAGGGUCAUUGGAAACUGGGAAACUUGAGUGCAGAAGAGGAGAGUGGAAUUCCACGUGUAGCGGUGAAAUGCGUAGAGAUGUGGAGGAACACCAGUGGCGAAGGCGACUCUCUGGUCUGUAACUGACGCUGAGGAGCGAAAGCGUGGGGAGCGAACAGGAUUAGAUACCCUGGUAGUCCACGCCGUAAACGAUGAGUGCUAAGUGGUUAGGGGGUUUCCGCCCCUUAGUGCUGCAGCUAACGCAUUAAGCACUCCGCCUGGGGAGUACGGUCGCAAGACUGAAACUCAAAGGAAUUGACGGGGCCCGCACAGCGGUGGGAGCAUGUGGUUUAAUUCGAAGCAACGCGAAGAACCUUACCAGGUCUUGACUUCUCUGACACCCUAGAGAU